CUGGGGGUUGAGGGUAAUGAAGGAGAUCCGGGUGAUGUUGGUUUCAGAGGAGCGCCUGGAAAACCUGGCCAGCCUGGCAAGAUGGGAAAACCUGGGGCUCCUGGGAUCAGGGGAAACAUGGGAGCAGGAGGGUUUAAGGGUAAAACUGGACCAAAAGGAAGACAUGGACCUC
Molecule: long non-coding RNA, 172 nt
Organism: Seriola dumerili (greater amberjack)
Lineage: Eukaryota; Metazoa; Chordata; Actinopteri; Carangiformes; Carangidae
Exons: 4
Source: RefSeq, a predicted model, not a curated record